CAUGUCUGUAGGGAGGAAAGGAAAGAGAGGGAAUGGAAAAGAACUAAAAAAAGUAGAAAUUUUACCCAUAAAAUAUCCCGCCUCGGAAAAAAGGGUGUGCUGGAUAUCCCCUCGCACCUUCUUUUUUCAAAGUUUUUGGGUUCUGGGGGGAGUAUGGGCGCAAGGCGAAACUAAAGAAUGACGAGCACAMAWAUCUAAUAUUAAAAAC
Molecule: ribosomal RNA, 208 nt
Filed under: uncultured amoeba
Lineage: Eukaryota
Description: partial 18S ribosomal RNA
Source: RNAcentral